This 440-nucleotide ribosomal RNA is filed under the name uncultured bacterium. RNAcentral describes it as "partial 16S ribosomal RNA". It matches the Rfam family "Bacterial small subunit ribosomal RNA", at positions 338 to 795 of the family's 1533-position model. The record is from RNAcentral.
CCUACGGGGUGCAGCAGUGAGGAAUAUUGGGCAAUGGGGGCAACCCUGACCCAGCCAUGCCGCGUGAGUGAAGAAGGUCUUCGGAUUGUAAAGCUCUUUCGGACGUGACGAUGAUGACGGUAGCGUCUAAAGAAGCACCGGCAAACUUCGUGCCAGCAGCCGCGGUAAUACGUAGGUGGCAAGCGUUGUCCGGAUUUACUGGGUGUAAAGGGCGUGUAGCCGGGCUGACAAGUCAGAUGUGAAAUCCGGGGGCUCAACCCCCGAACUGCAUUUGAAACUGUUGGUCUUGAGUAUCGGAGAGGCAGGCGGAAUUCCUAGUGUAGCGGUGAAAUGCGUAGAUAUUAGGAGGAACACCAGUGGCGAAGGCGGCCUGCUGGACGACAACUGACGGUGAGGCGCAAAAGCGUGGGGAGCAAACAGGAUUAGAUACCCUAGUAGUC